This 235-nucleotide ribosomal RNA is filed under the name uncultured bacterium. Its description in RNAcentral is "partial 16S ribosomal RNA". It matches the Rfam family "Bacterial small subunit ribosomal RNA", at positions 15 to 240 of the family's 1533-position model. The record is from RNAcentral.
GAUCAUGGCUCAGGACGAACGCUGGCGGCGUGCCUAAUACAUGCAAGUAGAACGCUGAAGAGAGGAGCUUGCUCUUCUUGGAUGAGUUGCGAACGGGUGAGUAACGCGUAGGUAACCUGCCUUGUAGCGGGGGAUAACUAUUGGAAACGAUAGCUAAUACCGCAUAACAAUGGAUGACCCAUGUCAUUUAUUUGAAAGGGGCAAAUGCACCACUACAAGAUGGACCUGCGUUGUA